UUUAAUUCGAAGCAACGCGAAGAACCUUACCUAGACUUGACAUCUCCUGGAAUUACCCGGUAACUGGGGAAGCUCUUCGGAGCAGGAAGACAGGUGGUGCAUGGUUGUCGUCAGCUCGUGUCGUGAGAUGUUGGGUUAAGUCCCGCAACGAGCGCAACCCUUAUCGUUAGUUGCUACCAUUAGGUUGAGCACUCUAGCGAGACUGCCCGGGUUAACCGGGAGGAAGGUGGGGAUGACGUCAAGUCAGCAUGGCCUUUAUGUCCGGGGCUACACACACGCUACAAUGGCCGGUACAAUAGGUAGCAAGACCGCGAGGUGGAGCCAAUCCUUAAAGCCGGUCUCAGUUCAGAUUGCAGGCUGCAACUCGCCUGCAUGAAGUCGGAGUUGCUAGUAACCGCGCGUCAGCAAUAGUGCGGUCGAAUACGUUCCCGGGCCUU
This 437-nucleotide ribosomal RNA is filed under the name uncultured Clostridium sp. RNAcentral's name for it is "bacterial SSU rRNA". It matches the Rfam family "Bacterial small subunit ribosomal RNA", at positions 945 to 1382 of the family's 1533-position model. Lineage: Bacteria; Bacillati; Bacillota; Clostridia; Eubacteriales; Clostridiaceae. The record is from RNAcentral.